RNAcentral lists this long non-coding RNA (1064 nucleotides) under Numida meleagris (helmeted guineafowl). RNAcentral's name for it is "lncRNA (ENSNMEG00000010505.1)". The record is from RNAcentral. Lineage: Eukaryota; Metazoa; Chordata; Aves; Galliformes; Numididae.
AUUUUCUGUUUGUUUUUAUCAUCUGGAAGAAUACAGGUGGAUUCAUGAUAAAACAUUUCUACUCUGCAAAAGUCAGAUUUGCUGACCCCCAAAAAUUCUAGAAGAGUGAGCAAUAUGAACAAAGAAAGCAUUUAGACCACAGAACAAGGCGUGGAUCCCCAGAUGAUGAUACAAUAAAUAAAGAGGGCUGGCUAAAUGUCUUCCUAGCAUGGAUUCAUUAUGCUGACAUCAGUUAUAGAGGUCUAUGGGACAUUUGUCCUGCCUAUAGACACUGGGUGGAAGGAACAUGGAGCAGAAGAGGACAGAACAAGUGCAUUCGCAGGAACAUAGAGGUGAUCAUAGAUGGAGUACCACAGCCUGGGGAGACAGUAGCCCAAGUAUAGUAGAUUUCUGGUCCUGUUUGUAAGAAUCCAGUAAGUUCAUACUUUCACUGGCUACUAUACUGAUGGACUAUUAACGCCCUUUCUAUUCAAGCCUGUAUGUCUAGAUUAAAUGGGAACUGAAACAGUUUCCAGUUUUUUAGUUUAACAGAAAAUUUGUGAGAUCUGUUGCUCCUCGUUUAGAUUCUACAUAAUUGCCCUGUUCUGGUGUAUAUUAUCCUCCAGAAGAGGAGAGUUUGAAUAGAAAAAAAUAUGUAUAGUUAGCUAUUUAUAUGCAUUAUACAUAACAAAAAUUUCUUUGUUUUGCUUCCCCUCCAGUCCACAAAGAGUCAGACCUAGAGAACUUUGCAGAUCCUAUCAGUGUAUUGAAACUGCACCAUGGGCAUUCAAAUCCAAAAAUCUGAGAGAGCACAAACAGUCUUAUUCUGGUAUUCACAGUGUUUGUUUUAUGUGUGAUGACAGCUGACAUGGAGAGGGCACAGAGGGCUUCCCUCACUUUAUUGCUCUCACCUGACUCCUGCUAGGAAGAUAAAUGGCAGUGUUGUCACUCAAAAAUACUUCAAUAUUAUGGUCUCUUUCUCAGCUGGGACUAAGCAGCAUUACAGCAUUACAUCACUUAUCUUUACACAAUCCAGCUCUUAAGAGCAGUAAAUUGGAUUCUCAAUAAAUGAAUUCCUCAGUUCA